RNAcentral lists this long non-coding RNA (493 nucleotides) under Ananas comosus (pineapple). RNAcentral describes it as "long non-coding RNA (ACOM_LNC022439)". The record is from RNAcentral. Lineage: Eukaryota; Viridiplantae; Streptophyta; Magnoliopsida; Poales; Bromeliaceae.
AAUAUAUAGCAAAUAUAUUUCUAUAAAGCUCAACUUUUUAUUUUUAUCCUCUGAUGAUAAGUUUAGUGAUAUUUAUAUUUGCCCCUCUGGUUGUUACUGUUAGAGCACGUCUCAGUAGAUAAGUGAGCUGAUAUUUUUGUCCUUACAAAUAAAUCUCUCUAAAAUUCCUAAUUGUUAGAAUUAUGUAGAAAUAUUCUUCCAAAAAAUAUUUUAUUUAAUAAUAUAAGAGGAGUAAAAAAAUGUCAAUUUAACUCAUUAGUAUUUUACUCAUGGUUGAAUAUAUUUUUCGAAUGAAUCCUAACAGUAGGAUGCAUUUGAAGACGUUAGGACUUUUAUAGUGAUAAAAAUAAAAAGUUGAACUUUAUAAGAAUAAGAAUAUAUCUAUUAUUCGAUAUGUUCAGAAGAAACUGUACGCAAUUAAUCCAAGAAUAUUUGAUAUAACCCCCUUAGGUUAUAUCCUAACAGAGAUUUUUUAAAUUAAAAUCAAAUUAAU